This 164-nucleotide ribosomal RNA is filed under the name uncultured bacterium. Its description in RNAcentral is "partial 16S ribosomal RNA". It matches the Rfam family "Bacterial small subunit ribosomal RNA", at positions 355 to 511 of the family's 1533-position model. The record is from RNAcentral.
UAGGGAAUCUUCCACAAUGGGCGCAAGCCUGAUGGAGCAACACCGCGUGAGUGAAGAAGGGUUUCGGCUCGUAAAACUCUGUUGUUAGAGAAGAACAUAUCUGAGAGUAACUGUUCAGGUAUUGACGGUAUUUAACCAGAAAGCCACGGCUAACUACGUGCCAG